GGAUGCGAUCGUACCAGCACUAAAGCACCGGAUCCCAUCAGAACUACGAGUUUAAGCGUGCUUGGGCGAGAGCGGAUGUAACAUUUUCU
Oryza sativa Japonica Group (Japanese rice) is the source of this 89-nucleotide non-coding RNA. NCBI's taxonomy places the organism in Eukaryota, Viridiplantae, Streptophyta, Magnoliopsida, Poales, Poaceae. The record is from Rfam.